Molecule: ribosomal RNA, 408 nt
Filed under: uncultured bacterium
Lineage: Bacteria
Description: partial 16S ribosomal RNA
Rfam family: Bacterial small subunit ribosomal RNA
Source: RNAcentral
GACGAACGCUGGCGGCGUGCUUAACACAUGCAAGUCGAACGGAGUGGCGAACGGGUGAGUAACACGUGGGUGAUCUGCCUUGCACUUCGGGAUAAGCUUGGGAAACUGGGUCUAAUACCGGAUAGUGCAAGAUGAGGUAGCGGCCUAUCAGCUUGUUGGUGGGGUAAUGGACUACCAAGGCGUCGACAGGUAGCCGGACUGAGAGGGUGUACGGCCACAUUGUGCCUUGGAUAGGACCCAGAGUCCAACGGGGGGAAGGAGUGGGGAAUAUUGCACAAUGGGCGGAAGCCUGAUGCAGCGACGCCGGGUGGUGGAUGAAGGCCUUCGGGUUGUAAACUCCUUUCGACUGGGACACGGUACCUGUAUAAGAAGCACCGGCUAACUACGUGCCAGCAGCCGCGGUAAUUC